AGAGUUUGAUCAUGGCUCAUAUUGAACGCUGGCGGUAGGCUUAACACAUGCAAGUCGAGCGGAGAUGAGGAGCUUGCACCUUAUCUUAGCGGCGGACGGGUGAGUAAUGCUUAGGAAUCUGCCUAUUAGUGGGGGACAACAUUCCGAAAGGGAUGCUAAUACCGCAUACGUCCUACGGGAGAAAGCAGGGGAUCUUCGGACCUUGCGCUAAUAGAUGAGCCUAAGUCGGAUUAGCUAGUUGGUGGGGUAAAGGCCUACCAAGGCGACGAUCUGUAGCGGGUCUGAGAGGAUGAUCCGCCACACUGGGACUGAGACACGGCCCAGACUCCUACGGGAGGCAGCAGUGGGGAAAAUUGGACAAUGGGGGAAACCCUGAUCCAGCCAUGCCGCGUGUGUGAAGAAGGCCUUAUGGUUGUAAAGCACUUUAAGCGAGGAGGAGGCUACUGAAACUAAUACUCUUGGAUAGGGGACGUUACUCUCAUAAUAAGCACCGGCUAACUCUGUGCCGCCACCCGCGGUGAUACAGAGGGUGCGAGCGUUAAUCAGAUUUACUGGGCGUAAAGCGUGCGUAGGCGGCUUUUUAAGUCGGAUGUGAAAUCCCCGAGCUUAACUUGGGAAUUGCAUUCGAUACUGAGAAGCUAGAGUAUGGG
This 650-nucleotide ribosomal RNA is filed under the name Acinetobacter sp. CoN. RNAcentral describes it as "bacterial SSU rRNA". It matches the Rfam family "Bacterial small subunit ribosomal RNA", at positions 8 to 652 of the family's 1533-position model. The record is from RNAcentral. Lineage: Bacteria; Pseudomonadati; Pseudomonadota; Gammaproteobacteria; Moraxellales; Moraxellaceae.